GGGUUGUGAGGUUAAGCGACUAAGCGUACACGGUGGAUGCCCUGGCAGUCAGAGGCGAUGAAGGACGUGCUAAUCUGCGAUAAGCGUCGGUAAGGUGAUAUGAACCGUUAUAACCGGCGAUUUCCGAAUGGGGAAACCCAGUGUGAUUCGUCACACUAUCAUUAACUGAAUCCAUAGGUUAAUGAGGCGAACCGGGGGAACUGAAACAUCUAAGUACCCCGAGGAAAAGAAAUCAACCGAGAUUCCCCCAGUAGCGGCGAGCGAACGGGGAGCAGCCCAGAGCCUGAAUCAGUGUGUGUGUUAGUGGAAGCGUCUGGAAAGGCGCGCGAUACAGGGUGACAGCCCCGUACACAAAAAUGCACAUGCUGUGAGCUCGAUGAGUAGGGCGGGACACGUGGUAUCCUGUCUGAAUAUGGGGGGACCAUCCUCCAAGGCUAAAUACUCCUGACUGACCGAUAGUGAACCAGUACCGUGAGGGAAAGGCGAAAAGAACCCCGGCGAGGGGAGUGAAAAAGAACCUGAAACCGUGUACGUACAAGCAGUGGGAGCACGCUUAGGCGUGUGACUGCGUACCUUUUGUAUAAUGGGUCAGCGACUUAUAUUCUGUAGCAAGGUUAACCGAAUAGGGGAGCCGAAGGGAAACCGAGUCUUAACUGGGCGUUAAGUUGCAGGGUAUAGACCCGAAACCCGGUGAUCUAGCCAUGGGCAGGUUGAAGGUUGGGUAACACUAACUGGAGGACCGAACCGACUAAUGUUGAAAAAUUAGCGGAUGACUUGUGGCUGGGGGUGAAAGGCCAAUCAAACCGGGAGAUAGCUGGUUCUCCCCGAAAGCUAUUUAGGUAGCGCCUCGUGAAUUCAUCUCCGGGGGUAGAGCACUGUUUCGGCAAGGGGGUCAUCCCGACUUACCAACCCGAUGCAAACUGCGAAUACCGGAGAAUGUUAUCACGGGAGACACACGGCGGGUGCUAACGUCCGUCGUGAAGAGGGAAACAACCCAGACCGCCAGCUAAGGUCCCAAAGUCAUGGUUAAGUGGGAAACGAUGUGGGAAGGCCCAGACAGCCAGGAUGUUGGCUUAGAAGCAGCCAUCAUUUAAAGAAAGCGUAAUAGCUCACUGGUCGAGUCGGCCUGCGCGGAAGAUGUAACGGGGCUAAACCAUGCACCGAAGCUGCGGCAGCGACACUGUGUGUUGUUGGGUAGGGGAGCGUUCUGUAAGCCUGCGAAGGUGUGCUGUGAGGCAUGCUGGAGGUAUCAGAAGUGCGAAUGCUGACAUAAGUAACGAUAAAGCGGGUGAAAAGCCCGCUCGCCGGAAGACCAAGGGUUCCUGUCCAACGUUAAUCGGGGCAGGGUGAGUCGACCCCUAAGGCGAGGCCGAAAGGCGUAGUCGAUGGGAAACAGGUUAAUAUUCCUGUACUUGGUGUUACUGCGAAGGGGGGACGGAGAAGGCUAUGUUGGCCGGGCGACGGUUGUCCCGGUUUAAGCGUGUAGGCUGGUUUUCCAGGCAAAUCCGGAAAAUCAAGGCUGAGGCGUGAUGACGAGGCACUACGGUGCUGAAGCAACAAAUGCCCUGCUUCCAGGAAAAGCCUCUAAGCAUCAGGUAACAUCAAAUCGUACCCCAAACCGACACAGGUGGUCAGGUAGAGAAUACCAAGGCGCUUGAGAGAACUCGGGUGAAGGAACUAGGCAAAAUGGUGCCGUAACUUCGGGAGAAGGCACGCUGAUAUGUAGGUGAAGUCCCUCGCGGAUGGAGCUGAAAUCAGUCGAAGAUACCAGCUGGCUGCAACUGUUUAUUAAAAACACAGCACUGUGCAAACACGAAAGUGGACGUAUACGGUGUGACGCCUGCCCGGUGCCGGAAGGUUAAUUGAUGGGGUCAGCGCAAGCGAAGCUCUUGAUCGAAGCCCCGGUAAACGGCGGCCGUAACUAUAACGGUCCUAAGGUAGCGAAAUUCCUUGUCGGGUAAGUUCCGACCUGCACGAAUGGCGUAAUGAUGGCCAGGCUGUCUCCACCCGAGACUCAGUGAAAUUGAACUCGCUGUGAAGAUGCAGUGUACCCGCGGCAAGACGGAAAGACCCCGUGAACCUUUACUAUAGCUUGACACUGAACAUUGAGCCUUGAUGUGUAGGAUAGGUGGGAGGCUUUGAAGUGUGGACGCCAGUCUGCAUGGAGCCGACCUUGAAAUACCACCCUUUAAUGUUU
Molecule: ribosomal RNA, 2197 nt
Filed under: Escherichia coli
Lineage: Bacteria; Pseudomonadati; Pseudomonadota; Gammaproteobacteria; Enterobacterales; Enterobacteriaceae
Description: partial 23S ribosomal RNA
Rfam family: Bacterial large subunit ribosomal RNA
Source: RNAcentral